RNAcentral lists this ribosomal RNA (253 nucleotides) under uncultured bacterium. RNAcentral's name for it is "partial 16S ribosomal RNA". It matches the Rfam family "Bacterial small subunit ribosomal RNA", at positions 524 to 776 of the family's 1533-position model. The record is from RNAcentral.
UACGGAGGAUCCAAGCGUUAUCCGGAAUCAUUGGGCGUAAAGAGCGUGUAGGCGGCUCGAUAAGUCUGCUGUGAAAGUCCAGGGCUCAACCCUGGAAGGCCGGUGGAAACUGUCGGGCUAGAGUCCGGAAGAGGCGAGUGGAAUUCCCGGUGUAGCGGUGAAAUGCGCAGAUAUCGGGAGGAACACCAAUGGCGAAGGCAGCUCGCUGGGACGGUACUGACGCUGAGACGCGAAAGCGUGGGGAGCAAACAGG